GACAGAGGUGCCAAGCGUUAUGCGGAAUCACUGGGCUUAAAGCGUGUGUAGGCGGAUUUGUAAGUACCUUGUGAAAUCCCACGGCUUAACCGUGGAACUGCUCGGUAUACUGCGAAUCUUGGGCCAUCUAGGGGCGAGCGGAACAAGUGGUGGAGCGGUGAAAUGCGUAGAUAUCACUUGGAACGCCAAUGGUGAAAACAGCUCGCUGGGGAUGUGCCGACGCUGAGACACGAAAGCCAGGGGAGCGAACGGG
This 253-nucleotide ribosomal RNA is filed under the name uncultured bacterium. RNAcentral describes it as "partial 16S ribosomal RNA". It matches the Rfam family "Bacterial small subunit ribosomal RNA", at positions 524 to 776 of the family's 1533-position model. The record is from RNAcentral.